This is a long non-coding RNA of Aotus nancymaae (Ma's night monkey), 1891 nucleotides long. The record is from Ensembl. Lineage: Eukaryota; Metazoa; Chordata; Mammalia; Primates; Aotidae.
CAUAUCUGCAGUUCUUACCUGUGAGCAUAUUAUUACUACUGCUCAGACAGCCUUUAGAAGCAAACCGCCUAAAUGAUGUGGACAGUUGGAAUGUGCCUUUAGCUUCUCUGAUGAAGCAUAGAUGCUGAGAUGAAGUCAGGAGAGGAGAGAAAGCAAAGGUCAGGCCGAGGCCCAGGCUGGAGAUUGGACAAGGGAAGCCUCACAUCACAGUGCAGACAGCAGGUGCACAGCAGGUGCAGAAGACAGCAGGUGUGGAUGUGGCAGAUGCGGACAUGGCAGAUGGAGUCUCGCUCUGUCAUCCAGGCUGGAGUGCAGUGGUGUGAUCUCGGCUCACUGCAACCUCCACCCCCCCAGGUUCAGGUAAUUCUCCUAUCUCAGCCUCCCAAGUCACUGGGACUACAGGCACGCACCACCACACCCAGCUAAUUUUUUUUUGUCUUUUCAGUGGAGAGAGAUUUCACCAUGUUAGCCAGGAUGCUCUCCAUCUCCUGACCUCGUGAUCCACCCACCUCGGCCUCCAAAAGUGCUGGGAUUGCAGGCACGAGCCACCGCGCCCAGCCUUAAAACUCCUUUCUUUACACUUUACCCAGCCUUGGGCAUUCUUUCAUAGCAAUGUGAAAAUGGACUGGCACAGGCCUUCUGGACACCACAGACAAACCUAAGCCAAACCCAAGCAAGAGCCUGUGGUGGGUGUGAGCCGGGCAGGUGGGGCUGGGGCAGAAGGUGCAGGGUGGGAGCGCGUCCAGGAGGGACAAAGUCAUCCGGCACCCUGGGGUUGCUGUGGCACUGGUGUGCCCAUGGCUUCCUGAGGGCCACUAUGUAGUGACUGUGCACAGCAGCUCGCAGAUGCACCGAGAGUCUGAGGAGAUUUGCACAGGCACCAGGACGCUGUGUCCAAAGUGGUUUCAGAUGACCCUUUUCAGGAAAAUGUCAUUGCAGCAGUUUGCAGCACCCAUGGGUCCAUGUUACACCCCCAACCCAUUUUACAGACCUCACUGAAGGUGAGAGGUGAUCUGAACUAGGAAGUGUGGGUUACAUGAGCAUGUGUGACUGAGUGUGUGUGUAUGUGUGUGUGUGGCUGCAGAGGGAAGUCCAUGCCAAGUGAGCUGGCCUUUAAUGUCAGGAUGCACAGGGUCAGUCUCUCAGCCAUUACCCACCCCACACAGGGUUUGCUGAGAUAGGUGGCUAACCUCACUUAAAAAAUAAAAAAAGGGGAGGUGGCGCCCUGCUCGUGUCAGUUGUUCUCUUUGGUGGUGAUGGUGACCAGAUGCUUGGCGAUGUUGUAUGCACACUGGAUGACCUCCUGUGUGACCAGCUGGACAUCUGUGGGUGAACCUGGGUCCCCCGGGAGGGUCUUCUUGCACUCUGACUGCAGUCGGUAGGCACUGGAUGUCAGCGAAUGAAGGGAAGUCCUCAUCAUAUCAGACUUGGGUUUUUUGGGGAAUAAUGCCGCUAUUUCUGUAACAGCUAUGUGUAUCCUCUCUGAGCAGGGAAUAUACCUCAUUAUCCUCUUUAAUUCUCAAUAAGAGACUCAAAUGUUUCCCAGCAAUCUUAAAAAUACAAAGUGCAGUUCUUUUAGUGGACCAGCCUUGCUAACAUGGUGAAACCUCGUCUGUACUAAAAGAGAAUAAUAAUGAAAAAUUAGCUGGGUGUUAGUGGCAUGCACCUGUAAUCCCAGCUACUCAGGAGGCAGAGACAGGAGAACUGCUUGAGCCUGGGAGGCAGAAGUUGCAGUUAGCCAACAUCAUGCCAUUGCACUCCAGUCUGGGCGACAGAGUGAGACCCUGCCUCAAAAAAACAAAAACAAAAAUGUUUAUAUGUGAAUUUGUGUCAGAUCAAAAUNNNNNNNNNNNNNNNNNNNNNNNNNUGAGCUGUGAUCGUGCCACUGCAC